RNAcentral lists this transfer RNA (67 nucleotides) under Schistosoma mansoni. The record is from RNAcentral. Lineage: Eukaryota; Metazoa; Platyhelminthes; Trematoda; Strigeidida; Schistosomatidae.
UGAGUAGCUGAGUAGAUAACGCGAUGGUGGUUGAAGCGAAAGGUACUAGGUUCGAGUCUCAGAGUGA